Non-coding RNA from Phrynosoma platyrhinos (Desert horned lizard), 73 nucleotides. The record is from the annotation of a GenBank genome assembly. NCBI's taxonomy places the organism in Eukaryota, Metazoa, Chordata, Lepidosauria, Squamata, Phrynosomatidae.
GAGCCAGUAUGUGUAGUGGUUUGAGUGUUAGAUUAAGACUUUGGAGAACAGGGUUCAAAUCCCUGCUUGGCCA